GUGAUCAGGACUGAACACACAGGAAUCACCAUGGAGUUUGUGCUGAGCUGGGUUUUCCUUGCUGCUAUUUUAAAAGGUGUCCAGUGUGAGGUGCAGCUGGUGGAGUCUGGGGGAGGCUUGGUACAGCCUGGGGGGUCCCUUAGACUCUCCUGUGCAGCCUCUGGAUUCACUUUCAGUAACAUCUGGAUGAGCUGGGUCCGCCAGGCUCUGGGGAAGGGGCUGGAGUGGGUUGGCUGUAUUAAAAGCAAAGCUAAUGGUGGGACAACAGACUACACUGCACCUGUGAAAGGCAGAUUCACCAUCUCAAGAGAUGAUUCAAAAAACACGCUGUAUCUGCAAAUGAACAGCCUGAAAACCGAGGACACGGCCGUGUAUCACUGUACCACAGACACAGUGAGGGGAGGUCAGUGUAAGCCCAGACACAAACCUCCCUGCAGGGGCGCGUGGGGCAACCAGGGGGCCCUCGGGACCCACUGA
Molecule: non-coding RNA, 477 nt
Organism: Gorilla gorilla gorilla (western lowland gorilla)
Lineage: Eukaryota; Metazoa; Chordata; Mammalia; Primates; Hominidae
Source: the annotation of a RefSeq genome assembly